GCGGUCGGACGGGUAGAUAAUUGUCAGGGAAACUAGCCUGAUGGAGGGGGAUAACUACUGGAAACGGUAGCUAAUACCGCAUAACGUCGCAAGACCAAAGAGGGGGACCUUCGGGCCUCUUGCCAUCAGAUGUGCCCAGAUGGGAUUAGCUAGUAGGUGGGGUAACGGUCACCUAGGCGACGAUCCCUAGCUGGUCUGAGAGGAUGACCAGCAACUGGAACUGAGGCACGGUCCAGACUCCUACGGGAGGCAGCAGUGGGGAAUAUUGCACAAUGGGCGCAAGCCUGAUGCAGCCAUGCCGCGUGUAUGAAGAAGGCCUUCGGGUUGUAAAGUACUUUCAGCGGGGAGGAAGGUGUGUGGUUAAUAACAAGCAAUCUGACGUUACCCGCAGAAGAAGCACCAGGCUAACUACCUGUGCCAGCAGCCGCGGUAAUACGGAGGGUCGCAAAGUGUCAAUCAGGAAUUAACUNAGGNGCCACUAACAGGGCAGCACANGCAGAGCAGGNACUGCACAAGCNCCGGAGAAUAGUCGACAAAAUGACCCCCCGGAGNGGCNUACAAAACCCNAGAGGGAAAAACUUGGAACAUUUCCGGAAAAAC
RNAcentral lists this ribosomal RNA (600 nucleotides) under uncultured bacterium. Its description in RNAcentral is "bacterial SSU rRNA". The stretch from base 1 to 448 matches the Rfam family "Bacterial small subunit ribosomal RNA", at positions 94 to 537 of the family's 1533-position model. The record is from RNAcentral.